Molecule: ribosomal RNA, 450 nt
Filed under: uncultured bacterium
Lineage: Bacteria
Description: partial 16S ribosomal RNA
Rfam family: Bacterial small subunit ribosomal RNA
Source: RNAcentral
GUGGGGAAUCUUCCACAAUGGACGAAAGUCUGAUGGAGCAACGCCGCGUGAGUGAAGAAGGGUUUCGGCUCGUAAAGCUCUGUUGUCGGGGACGAAUGUGCAGUAUUUGAAUAAAGUACUGCAAUGACGGUACCUGACGAGGAAGCCACGGCUAACUACGUGCCAGCAGCCGCGGUAAUACGUAGGUGGCAAGCGUUGUCCGGAAUUAUUGGGCGUAAAGGGAGCGCAGGCGGGAAGGUAAGUCGGUCUUAAAAGUGCGGGGCUCAACCCCGUGAUGGUAUCGAAACUAUCUUUCUUGAGUGCAGGAGAGGAAAGUGGAAUUCCUAGUGUAGCGGUGAAAUGCGUAGAUAUUGGGAAGAACACCGGUGGCGAAGGCGACUUGCUGGCCAGCAACUGACGCUGAGGCGCGAAAGCCAGGGGAGCAAACGGGAUUAGAUACCCUAGUAGUCC